This 2415-nucleotide long non-coding RNA is filed under the name Homo sapiens (human). Its description in RNAcentral is "HSALNT0283642". Lineage: Eukaryota; Metazoa; Chordata; Mammalia; Primates; Hominidae. The record is from RNAcentral.
UCAUUAACAUAGAUUUACACUUUAUUUUAAAUUUGCAUCCUGAGAUAAUAAAAUUUUAUCUGACAAGUGAACAAUGACAGAAGCAGCAGUGAAAGUUUCGGAGAGGCAGGUAUCCUUCAUUUUGGCACAGCUGUAUAUAGAUUGAGUUUUUCCAGGGAAGUCAUUCCUGGACUCAAGGGAGAAAAAAUGAAUUCAUUCCACAGGCUAUGUAACAAUGCAAGAUGCAUGAAAGUUCUUAGUUUGGAUGAACAUAUCCGCUAUUAUUCUUUUCUGGUAAAGCUGUCCCAACAGGAAUCCUCUGACAAAAAGUUGAAAUCCUAGGCUUCUCCACCAGAUAUUUUUAUCAAUGCCCACUCUCUAGUUACCUGGAUAUCCUGUUCUUGCAGCCAGAUUCAUAUUUGUAUGUGGUUAGUCCAAGGAGGGCAAAUUCUAACCUGAAGUUAUAUAGCCUAAUAUAGCCAAAACACACAAACACACACAUUUCAUUAUUUAGAGACUAGGUAAGCAAUCUGUGGAGGGGGUCAAAUAAUCUUAGUUCCUUUAUAAAAGUGGUUCCCAACAUUUUCACCAUAAGAAUCCCUUCAUUAUUCUUUUCCCAUGUUCCCAAGUAUUUAAUAAGUUGCACAUAAUAGGAUUUCUUAUUUUAUUAUUAAUCAAAAACAUACUGCCAUUCACAGCUUUUGAGAGAAUAUAGGCAAAAUGAAUGGAAAUUCAAUGUCUUAAUUGACUUGUGAAGCAGGAAUAUUAUGGGUAAAUGUAUAAUUUCUAAUAUACUUUUUGAAAUAUUACAAAAAGCUCAAGGAUACCCUCCACUGCUAUCAUCUGCUGAAGUUGGGAAUCACUGAUUUACAUCCACCUGCUUUUCCUCCCUAAGUAUGUAUUAACAUAAUACAAUUACCCACGUUUAACACAUAGGAGAUUAAUAACAAAAUUUACUAUUAAAACAAUAGACCAAGUGCAAUAGUCAUUCUGUAGGACCUGACUGAAAAAGAAAACAUAGCAUGGAUUUAAAGAAAUCUAUUUAGAAAUUAUAUAAUUAUGAUAUCCAGUAUAUCUUUCAGUCAACUUCAAAGCACACUAAUAUAUGAAAAUAUCCUCAAUUCCCCUGUGAGGUAGGUCCAGAUUAUUGUCCCCACUUCGACAAUGAGGACGUGAGGUACAGAGGAAUUAAGCAGCAGAGCCAAUAAUUAAACCAGAAGUGACUUGUAUUUGAGUCCCAUACCACUUUCCUUUCCACCUAAUUUUAUCAAUUUGUUCCAACAGAUCUUUUUGAGGGUAUGGAAUUUGAUUAGACACUAAAGUAAAUGUUGGAUAGGAUAUGAAAUCUUUACAUAAAUGCCAAAGUGGGUCCUCCAAUAUUUCCAUUGUUGUUACAGCUAAAAUUCUUGCCUGAAUACCAACUGCAUAGACAGAUUCUACACAGGCAAAGGACACAGACCUCAGUGCUCAGUUCCUAGGAAAACUACAUUUACUCUUAGCAUCACCAAGGAACUAAGGUCUAGCAAGCAUCAGGUUCUUGGAGUCUGUGUGAUAAUUAACACGUCAGCCAGUCGGCAAAUCAAACUUUUACUGCAUGCAAGGCACUGUGAGAGUUUCCACCAAGGACAGUAGAUCUGAGAAUAAUCAUUCUGAGAUUCUAUAGAGUAAAAAUGUCCUAAGAAUUCCUUGAAUCACAGAAUGUUAAGUGAUCUCUAAUUUUUUGUCCAGCUCUAGGUUCCACCUCAUCAUUUUACAGAAGAGACAGACAUGCAAUUAAGAUGACCUGCCUGGAGCCCACAAUAUUAGAUCAUUUCCUCAUAUAGUAUGAAUUUGACAAAGUUCACAGAAAAUGGAACAUACUCACAGGGUGCCAUCAAAACAAAAAGGCUGGCUCAGAAUCAGGUAAGAAAAAUUUGGGGCAAGAUAAGAUCAUUCAUUUUUACAUACAGAUAUAUAUCAAUUGUUUUAGUCCACAUACUACAUGAACAGGUAUUAAUAAAACCUAUUCAUUUUUAUGGAAAAUUUCCCAAUUGUUUGCUAUUUAAAGGAACCCAAAUAAUUUGACAGUUGUUGCAAAAUAUUUUUAAAGUAUACUUUUAUAGGCAUGAGAAUCUAAUUUCAAUAAAUUUGAGCACUUAUAAUCAAAUUAGCAAAAAGUAUUUCUACUAUGUGAAACUGCUCCAGUUAAUCAGGUGAAUAUAAUUUCUAUAUCCUCCUAGGUCAAUAUAGUACAUUUUAAUACAAUAUUGUUUGGGAGCUUUAUGUUCAAGUAGUGAGGUUUUAUUUUUUUAAAUGGCAGCUUAUUUGUAAACAAAAUAAAAGUGCUAAUGAUCUUUUAAAGCUUUCAUACAUUUGUUCAAAGGCUUACACGUUUUUAAACUUUAUUCAAAUUUCAUCAAAAAUGGUAGAUAAAACAGUUUGAUUGCUCAGAUAUUA